CCUGGGAGGCAAUUGGGUAUUAUAGGAGUCACUACAGCAGCUGGCAUGUGCUUACUUGCUGGUCAAGUAGAGGGAAGCCUUCAGGGAGGGGGAAUUUCUGAACCUCUUAAUUGAAGAGAGAAAAGAGGGCAUGUGAUGGGAGAGGCGAGGUGGGACAGGGCUCGGGGAAGAUGAAUAAAAGGGAAGAACAGGAAGAGGAAAACAGUAGAAAAGGUUCAGCUAGAAUAAGAGGUUAAGGGCUUAUUUUGAACACAAGAUAUUUUAGGGCUGGCUUCAGCCUGGUCAAUUCUAACUCAGCCCAGUCAUCACCCCCAUGUGUUUAUGACCAUGCAAUCACAUAUCUGGAGGUGCACUCCAACAAGCUUCCCGUCCCUCCCAGCCACCUACCGGUUGUACGUCCAGAGGCGUAGAGGGACAGCACUGCCUGGAUAGCCACAUACAUGGCUGGGACAUUGAAAGUCUCAAACAUAAUCUGCAAAGCAAUCCAAAGAGCUGAGUAAGUGAAGGUGCCCAUCUGACAAAGAAUGGUCAGGAGGGUACACCUGGUUGAUGGAUGCAGAGGGGCCUGACCCAUUCUGGGCAGAGGAGGCCAAAGUAAGAAGGAUCAGAACAUCCCUGGUCACGUAAAGAAGAGAAAUGAAGGUGUGAAUGGGGAACCAUGACAUUAGUGACCUGGCAGGGUGGGAAGCAGAAGAAGCAGUGUGCACACAGGCUUGGCCAAGGGAAAGGAACGUCUAGCUUCUGGCUCUGAUCCUGGCUUUGACUAAUAGUCACCAAAGUAACAGUUAACUAAUAGUGGCAUCAUUCCAGGUCUCUUAACUGUACACAGAGGAGGAGCUUGGACUAAAUGGGCUCUCCAGCUUUUCCAGUGUAGACAACCUAGGGUUUGUUAACUAUAUCAAGGCCAGAAGAAAAAGAGAAGAUAACAUCCAGGUUUUGAUUUCUCUGCUAUAAACAAAGAGAUCUUUUAACUCUGAAGUUCAGACUGACUGGGAUUAGCCCCAUUUCUGUGAUUUGCCUGAGGUUCCAUUUAAUCUGUCCCACUUUUUUAUAUAGUGUGGGUCAGUGCUGACUCUAGAAUCUGAGGCCAUUCUGACUGCAGUGGGAGAGGCCUUGAAUCCUGGAAGACAGGAACUGCCCACUGGUAACAGAGGACCACACAGACAGUCAAUGCCCCAGUUCAUGUAGUCCAGGGACAAGAUUAGAACUCAAGCCCCUCCAGGUCACUGGUGAGAAGUUUGUGAAUCAGGAGAUGUCCAGGGGUCUUCAUUUCUCCAUCUGUAAGACCUUUCCUGCUCUAUUACCCAGAAUGUCUGACAUCAUUUGCUAGCGAAGCAUAAUUUCCAAUCUUUUUUUGUUUUUUGCCCUCACACCAUUCUCAGGAGCAAUAAGUCAUCAGAAGCAACAUCUCUUGCUACAUGCAGUGAUUCUCAGGCACACAGAUGUUCCCCUGUGGAGAACACGUGCUAGUGUGUUGGUACAAGCACCAGGAGCUACUCUGAGGGAAAGGCUUUGCAGUUAUUUACAUUUAUGAUUCUCCAAUGCUGGAAGAUCAUGGAUCAAUCCCAGGCUCUGCCAGUUCUAGCUGUGUGACCCUGGAAGAAUCACUUAAUGUAUCUGAGCCUUGAUUUCUUCAUUUAUGUAAUCAGUAUAAUCAUAGAUCCUGCUUCACAUUGCUAGAACUUAAAGAGACAGUGAAUGUAAAAUGCUGAGCCUAGUACUUGACCAUAGCAAGUAUAGAAUUGACAUUAGAUGCUGUUAUUUAAUAGCUCAUCCAAACUAGAAAACUCCUCUGUCUGGUGGACUGGAUGGGAUUGUAUUCUAAGGUUUUGAGCUUCAGACAAAUAACAAUAAUGACAAUGAUUAUUAUUAUUUGUUGGGUGUUUAUUAGGCACCAUGUGACACAUCCGUCAUUUCACCUCAUUAAUGUUCAUAUCAAUCCUUUGAAAAAUGAUAAUAUUACUCCCAACUUAUAAACAAGAAAACUGAGGCUCUGGGAAAUUAACUGGGUUCUUUAAGGUCACACAACUAAUAAGACAUAUCCUAGAUAUGCCUGACUCCAGAACCCAAAUUCCUAUUGUAUGUGAUGCUACAUUUUGAAGUGACUUCUCCUUAGACAUUUUAACUUUAACAUAGCCCCUUUUCAAUGAAAUAUUUUAAAUUUCCUAUUGCUUUUUGAGGCAACGGGCUGGUCCCUGCAAGAAGGCUGCAAGUACCAUCAAGCUGUUUCUGUUCUUUGGAAUCCCUGAGUUCACUGAAGGUUGUUAGUCUGUUGGUGGACUGCUGGCCCUGGCCUUCUCUCUGCUGCCCUGCAUAGCUCCUUUCUAACAGAACAUUCCCCAGAUCCCAAAGUGUUGAGUGCUGGGGUAGAUACUUACCUGGGUCAUUUUCUCCCGGUUGGCCUUGGGGUUCAGGGGUGCCUCUGUGAGCAGAGUUGGAUGCUCUUCAGGGGCAACACGAAGCUCAUUGUAGAAAGAGUGGUGCCAGAUCUGGUGAGUUGGGGAACAGAGGAGAAUCACAAUGGUGUGCUAUCGUGAGGCCCUGCAUUUCCCAAAAAGGGACCAGAAGCUACCAGAAACCAAGACCAAAGGAAAUGCUACAAGUAUUCAUUAUGUGUCCAUGGUUUUAUAGAUGCAGAGACUGAAGCUCAAAGUGUGUAAGUACCUUCUUGAAGGAUUCACAUCUAGUGAGCAGAAUCCCUAACCCAGAUCUGUGAGGCAAGAUAGUACAGUGGUUAAGGGCACAAAUCUUGGCCCAACUUGGCUAUUUCAUGGAUGUAUGAGCUUAGGCAAGUUUUUAACCCUUCUCAGCUCCAGUCUCAUGAUUGGUAAUAGGAAGAUGAAAAUACUUAGUGUGUAACUCAUUGGGUCUUUGUACAAAUAAAUAAGGUAACCCUUAAGUUAUUGUUUAGCCCAGUGCCUGGCCAAGAAUCAAUGUUAUUAUCAUUCAACUCUAUUUUCUUUGUUAUCUCUUUCCAUUUUAGUUAAUGUUCAUGGGAAAAUGAUUUAAUUUUGUAAAUAAAAAGACAAAUGAAUGCAUACAUGAAUAAAUGAAGCUUACUUGAAAACCUAAUCACCACUUUUAAUGCUUCUAGAGAAGUUGGCCUUUGCAAUGUACAUGGAGAAGAGAACUGAGCUCCUUGCCUCUUGCCUCCAUGAGAGUCAAGAUGAAAAAGGCUUCCUCUAUCAGCACACUUUGGAUCUUCCACUCCCAGUCAGACAUUUGGCCUUAGGUGUUUCCAAAAGACCUAUUCCUGUGUAUAGUGUAUCUAUGUGAAGGUACUUUGGACAUAAUUACAUUUGCUUUAUGGUUGGGCACUCUCUUUAAUUCCUGGAUGCCAAAAAGAAACCAUUGCAAAAAGGACUAAAUUAAUUAAUCUUUAAAAGCAUGAAAAUUCUCCACCAAAGCCAGGAAUAUGAGAUUCAUCCAAAACUAAAACAGAGCAAAACAAGAACUGCUGGUAAAAGCUUAUAAAUUAGCAAAAACAAGAUUAGCUUUAAAGACUAUCUUAUUCCAGUUUCUCUUGUUUUGGAUUUGUGGUUUCUAGAAAGGAAAUGAAACUUCUAAAAGUUUUGUUUCUUUGGUGGAGUCAAAGCAGCAGAAUGCUUAAGAAAUCCUGCCAGUCACAACAAGCACCCCUUCUCCUUCUCCCUCUCUUUCUCUUCACCCCCACCAGAAGGUACUUUGAAUUUAAAUUUUAGAAAUAAGAAAUUUUUUGUUGUUCCAAUAUUCUCUCCCUAGGAGGAUACAUUCUAAGAUGCUAUCAGCUCCAUGGAGAAAUUCUAAAAGAGUAUUUUCCUACUGAUUUUAAUAUUUUUUUCUCUGUGCACACUGGGAAAUCUUACCAAAUCUAGAAUCCUCAAUUAAGCAAAUCUACUGAUAUGUAAUUUUUAUAGAAAGAUAGAGGUUGAAGCAUUACUAUUGAUAAAUUCUAGUAACAUUAUAUAUUUUUCUUUUGUGUGUGUGUAUGUGUGUGUAGCAGUGAGCUAAUAGAUAAAUAAAAGGCCAGAUGUUGUGAUUCUGA
Long non-coding RNA from Sapajus apella (tufted capuchin), 4024 nucleotides. RefSeq lists it as uncharacterized. The record is from RefSeq and is a predicted model, not a curated record. NCBI's taxonomy places the organism in Eukaryota, Metazoa, Chordata, Mammalia, Primates, Cebidae. The transcript has 2 exons.